UUAUUUCUCAGACGUCUGGAGACUUA
Molecule: non-coding RNA, 26 nt
Filed under: Mus musculus (house mouse)
Lineage: Eukaryota; Metazoa; Chordata; Mammalia; Rodentia; Muridae
Source: RNAcentral